This 253-nucleotide ribosomal RNA is filed under the name uncultured bacterium. Its description in RNAcentral is "partial 16S ribosomal RNA". It matches the Rfam family "Bacterial small subunit ribosomal RNA", at positions 524 to 776 of the family's 1533-position model. The record is from RNAcentral.
UACGUAGGGGGCGAGCGUUAUCCAGAUUUACUGGGCGUAAAGCGCGUGUAGGCGGCUGGUUAAGUCUGCUGUGAAAUCCCCGGGCUCAACCUGGGAAUGGCAGUGGAUACUGGCAAGCUAGAGUGCGGUAGAGGGUAGUGGAAUUCCCGGUGUAGCAGUGAAAUGCGUAGAGAUCGGGAGGAACACCAGUGGCGAAGGCGGCUACCUGGACCAGCACUGACACUGAAGCACGAAAGCGUGGGGAGCAAACAGG